UUGUUUUUAGAGAAAUAAAAAGAAUGAAUUGAGUCUCGAUUGAAAAAAUGACAAAUAUAUUCAUGUAUUAAAUUUUACUCCCUCCGUUUGGAAUUACUUGUUUUAGAUUUGUCUAGAUAUGGAUAUAUCUAGCACUAAAAUGAGUCUAGAUACACCCGUAUCUAGACAAAUUCAAGAUAAGUAAUUUAGAACGGAGAAAGUAGAAAACAUAGAUAAAAAAAAGAGAUACGACAGAGGAGCCGCCCCCUCACACCGUCACCUACCUUCCCACCGCCCCUCACAUUUCUCCCCGUCGUUCCCCAUUCUUCCUUGGUCGCCAGCUCCCUCUCUCCACCCCACCCCUCCCCUUCGUCCCCACCGCCAGCAAGAAGUUCGCAUCCCCUUUUCGUCGAAUCCGGUCGCCCAAGUGGGUGAGGAGGUCCCCCAGCUCGGCAUGCUCGCGAGCAUCCCAGCGUUAGGCUCCGUCGGAUGCGCGAGACUUCCACGCCCAUGCUCUUCCAAGCCAUUCUUCGAAUCCGUUUGCCGAAGUGCCCAAGGAGGCGCUCGAGCUCGGCGUAUUCACAGGCGACCCAGCGCGAGGCGGGCGCGGAGGCCCGCAACAAGCUAACAAGGAGCGGGCGUGGGUGCACAAGAAUAUCUGGGCACAGUUCGAUGCCUCCACUGGUGUGCCUCUGUGUGAUGUGCUAUUCAAAAUCCCUCUACAUAUUUCCCCCUUCUUAAAUUGUGUUAUUCAAGAUACAAUGGCACUCGAUAAUGCUUGCUAAGAAGGUCUGCAAUAUGAACUGGACUGUUGCUUGCCAGAUGACUGGAAGAUGGGUACUUCAUCCUCUCUUUUUUUGUCAAGCAAGAUAAAUAAGGUUCAUGCAUUGUAAUGAGAACUGCAGAUUUAGCUAAACUCAACUGAUGGUGUAAUAUAUCUUCCUAUGAGCAGCAAUAAUGAUAUAUUCUUAGGAGUAAUAAGGCGUUGCUGCAUAAAUAUACUUGACUUUCAAAUGAGUGUGUCAAGAGGUUUAAUUAGCAUCGAUCCCUACUCUAAUUAUAGCUGGAUAUCUCACUCAUGUACUAUUUGAAACUUAUCAAUUAGAUCUUCAGAAUAACAGAAAUUUGCUAGAUAAGCUAACGUUAGAAGGGGAAGUAAACAUUAAACAUUUCAGAUAGUGAAGGUGAAUAUCUGAUAUGUCAUCAUUGUGUGUUUCCUGCUGUAGAUAAAUUUGCUUGCAGGGCUCUUGAUGAGAUAUCCACUUUCAUCAAAUGCUUAAGGGUAUGGUCACUUGGAGAAGACAUAGCUAUGACUACAAAGAUCUGUUUUUUCAGGUAUGCAUUGUACAAGAUGGAUUUCCUCUUAACCGAUUGGAAGCAUACUGCAACAUGGAUGCACACAAGGGCUAGCCUAAGCAUGCAGGUAGAUGGAUUAUAGACGUCUUGUUAAUGCUGGUGCAAGGAUGCAAUAUCCAUGAACGAGCGCAACGUCGGUGGAUCUGUAUGUUUGAGUUCAGAAUUUUGAAAGAAAGGGGAUAUGGGAAACAAGAAGAAGGGAGCUCUACCUUGGCU
This is a long non-coding RNA of Triticum aestivum (bread wheat), 1551 nucleotides long. RefSeq lists it as uncharacterized. The transcript has 3 exons. Lineage: Eukaryota; Viridiplantae; Streptophyta; Magnoliopsida; Poales; Poaceae. The record is from RefSeq and is a predicted model, not a curated record.